Molecule: long non-coding RNA, 597 nt
Organism: Ananas comosus (pineapple)
Lineage: Eukaryota; Viridiplantae; Streptophyta; Magnoliopsida; Poales; Bromeliaceae
Exons: 3
Source: RefSeq, a predicted model, not a curated record
UUUCCUCUGUAAGCCCCACACAGGCACACGCACAGGGAGAACGAGAGAAAAUCCUCUCUUUCACUCUCAUCUUCUCCUUCCUCUCCAAACUUGGAGAUUUUGGUGGAGAUAGAGCUUGAGAAGCUCGGAGGAGUGGUGAAUCGAGCUUUAGCGCGUGUAGCACCUCAGGAAAGUUGCAAUCCGAGGUUCGAAAGGGAGCGAUUGGCCGCGGGAGUUCGAUUGCAAUGCUUCAUCGAAGUGAUUAGGUAUGUGUGGCUCUCCUCUCCCGACAGCAGGUUACACUUAUGGGUAUGUGUGGUUCUCCUCGCUCGGCAGCGAUUCCUGAUUACGGGUAUGUGUGGUUCUCCUCACCCGAUAAGCGACUUAUGACCAAGAUUAUGUGUGGUAUUUCCUCGUCCGACAAAUGACCUAUAGUCGAGUGGAUUUAAGGCAGCGGUGUAUGGGGCACGUUCCUCUCCUCAGGCCUGAACGAGAGCGGUAGUCUGCUGAUGAUUAACUCGAGACCAAGUAGAGUGGUAUAGCUUGGUGAAGGUAAGACAACCAUAGGAGCGGAUUGGAAAUGAGAUGGAUAGUGAAAUAGAAAGUAGACAAUGUAGA